AUCACUAAUAUUUUCAAAUGAUGACACUUGCACUGAUUUAUCAUAAGUAUUAUGCGUUUCAUUUAUAUUUACUCCUAAUUGAAUGUCUUCGCAUAAAUUAUUUAUUGGUUCUUGCUCAUCGCUGAUGAAAGAUUCCGAUGCUAAUUUUCUUUUUUUCCAACGAUUAAAACGAUCCAGAUUAUUAUUUGAAGGCUUCUGUCGUUUGUAUUCAGUUGGUAAAAUUGUUGGACUAUAUGCUGGAUGUCGAGGAUCUUCAGAUUUGUUACCACCAACAAAAUGAUUACUACAUAUUCUUGAAUAAUUACACAUAUCAGACUUACUUAAUACGAUUUACUGCUUUUAUCCAUGUUUGUCGACGUUUUAAUAAAUGUGGUUUUAACGGAAAUGAAUAAAAUUUUAUAUUUGAAUUUGUUUUACCUAAAAUAUGGUCACCUGAAUAUUUAUUCCAUAAAACUAUAAAUAUCAGAAAUUAAUAAUUGUUAAAAAAUUAAUUAAUUAUUAAUGAAUUUAUCAUAGAGUUUAAUGUUUACAAACAGCUCAUGCUCACAUGAGAACUUAUAAAAUUCCCGAAAGAGGCGUCACCAGGCUUCAUGCAGGUUCUCUAUCCUCGAAUUCAUUUAAAUUACAAAGAGAAAAAAAUAUAUAUAAAACAAAAGUAUACAAAAAUUAACUAGAAUAGAGAAAUCUAUAAUAGUUUCGAGUAUUUGAUAAGUGAUCGUGGGUGUAAUUGCUAGAAAGCAUUGUGAAAUUUUCAUAAUUGUGUAGUGAAUCAAUAAAUAUUAAAGAAAAAAAAAAUUUAAUAUAAAAUAAAACGGAAAUUGUUAUUAUUUCAAUUAUUUUAUAAGUGAACCUCCUUGUGCAGCUUUCAGAGGCAUAGGGUAGUUUAAGUGCGGACGUGUACAGAGUUAAUAAAUAAAGACAAAUUUUUAAAUCAUAAUAAAAAUAAAAAAAAAAAAAAAGAAUUUGAAUAAGAGAGAAUCUUCUCCGUUUUUCCUUUUGGAAAAUUUCAAAUUUUAAAAUAAAUGAAGAAUAAAUAUAAAAACAACCACAACGAAAGUAAAUAUAGCGAAAAGAGAAGGAGUAAGUCAUAUUAUCAACUAGCCGAGAACCAGAGGGAGAUCCCUAGGAUCCAAGGACGCAGGGUUCCUGGACCAACAGCCAUUCAAGGUAGUACGAUUAGCAGAGAGGAAUAAAAGAAAAAUCUGCACCUGCAAAGUAGAUUACUUUUUACGGAUAUUUUCCAAAAUAUGAAGAACUUUGAAAGAAUAAAGACGAAUUUAAAAAAAAUCAGAAUAUAAGAAUAACAACUAAAACUUCGGUACAACAAAAAAAAAACUGAGCAUAAAUAAAAUUUCUAUCGAAAACUUUAUGACUGAAAUUAUGAAUGCAAACUUCACACAGUUGAUAAAAAUAAAGUUGGCAUGGCCACAAUAGAGCGGUGACAAUGGACGAAUGAACGGGUUUCCCAAUCUAAAAUUUUUUGAGCCAUUAAAGUGCCAGAAGUAGAUGAAGUAGAGUAUAAACCACUAUGUUUGUAUUGUCGCUCAGCCGAGACAAAUGUCCAAGUUUUGGAGUGCAAGCAUUUUAAAGGAUGCUACGAUUGCUGGCUCAAUGACUACUGGGUCAAUAAACGAAGAACAUGCCCGAUGUGCCGAACGGCAUAUAUGUGCGAUUUUCAAUAACCACGAUAACAUAAAAAAAUGUUUACCAUUUAAUGGCAUUGUCCAUUGGCAAAUUCGAUUACCUGCAUUAGAAACAUCUCAUCGAAAUCCUUGGAUUAUGUUUCUUACCUAUUGAUUAUCCACUAAUAAUAUUAUUUAAAGUUAAAUAUUUUAUAAGAUAAAUCAACAACUAAAAAAGCAAAUAAAGUGAUGAAGGCGGUUUUUGAUACUCUAAGAAUAAUUGCUAAGGAGAUCAACUUAGUGUACUUGUAUAGUAAAUCUUUACAGCAGAGUGUUCAACCAUAAUGACUGGUGAAGCUACUUUUAACAAAAAAAAAAAAAAAAAUCAAAGAUUUUUUUUUUUUUAAGCAUAAUAAUGAAUUCCUAAUUCCUAUGAACGAAAAUAAAGCUAUACGUAAUUUAGCUGCAGUUUCUUAAAUAUUUAUCCAUUUGUUUUACUGAUUUGUUUUAGUGUUUUAGUCUGAGAAUAUUUGUUAAAAAAAUAGACCGCAAUAUACUUAUAUGAAGUAUCUUGACCGCAGAAUGUUGGAUAAUUAUGAUUGGUAAAACUACUUAUCAAUCGAAAAUGAAAAAAAAAUCGUUUUUAAGUAUAAUAAUUUAGUUUAAUAAACAAAAGUUAGGUUAAAUGUAUUUUAGCUAGAUUUUCUUGAAUAUUGACUCAUAAAACAGUGAAUAAUUGGCAAAUCUAUUUUUUCAUAUCGAUUUAACAUAGAUUAGUUUUUUUGCGAAUCUCGUUAUGUAAUCAUUUUUAUUUUUGUUAUAGUACAUAUUAAAUAUUAAUUUAAAAAAAUUUUGGUAAAUCCAAAAGUGCACGACUCAUAAUCCUCAUUUAUUAUGAAAUAAUAAUAAUAAAAUAGAUUAGAAAAAAAAAAAAAAAAUUCAGGCUUACCAAUUAGCAAAAAAAAAACAGCUGUACAUACUAGGACGUUAAUGCGCAAGCGCCCCUGGUGGAAUAAACGUACGUAUAACGUAUAGGUAUAGAUAUAUCAUCAUCCAUGUUAACUUUACAUAGAUAUAUAUAGAUAUAGUUGUACAGCCUUUUUUUAUUCUUUUAUUAAUUGUAAUUAAACGACACUGAGUUACCUAGCCAUUCGCAAUAGGAGACCUACAAAUCUUUCAAAGAAUUAAAAAAAAAAAAAUUGUUUCUAUUACUGGUUUUUUUCGCAAGUUAUCAUGUAUACGGGAUCCGUACUUGACGGACAGGAUAUUUUUUUAAACUAUUUUGAUGUUUUUUCCGGUUUUUAUCAAACUAAAUACAUUUUUGAAAAGUAUUGAAUUAAUCUCCAUUGAAUUAUCUUCAAAAUAGUAUGCAACAAAUCUUAAUUCCGUGAACUAACAAAGAUAAAAUAAUUGAAAUAGUUGCCGAAGUGAGGCGAAAAAAAAUUUUCGAUCGUAAAGCACUCUCUGAUGCUUCGCAUCAUGAGUCGUGCAAUAAUUAACUUCCCGGUGAGAAAAUCGACGAUUUUUAAAAAAUUCGGGAAGUUAUUGGUUUUCCCCGAUUUUCGAAAAUCGGGUUAUCAUCAUAUGUCGACGUUUGAGAGUACUAGAAUGCUAUUCUGACAUUUUCAGAACGAUGUCUGUAUGUAUUACCGUACGAUGAACGAUGUGGCUCAAUAAGUUAUAGAUCAAAUUAAACGGAAUAUAGUAUAGUGCUGGAUAGCUCAACUGGUAGAGCACUUGGCACGAUACCGAAUUGGUCUGGGUUCGAUUCCCAGUGCGGGCUGUCUAUAUUUUUCUCAAUUUAUCUAUAAAUUGUCUUAUUGAGAAGGUUUGCAUGUUUAAGUUUCCACUAUAUUUAAAUGGUGUAUUACCGUACGAUGGACGAUGUGGCUCAAAGAAUUUCAGAUCAAAUUGAACGGAAUAUAGUAUAGUGCCGGAUAGCUCAACUGGUAGAGUGUAACGAUCGUUACAAAUGGAUCGCGAUUUAACCGUACUUUAAUUUAUCAAUUCUUCUAAAUUUUUUUUUUAUUUUUAUUAAAAUAAGAAUUUGACUGCGUAGUUCAAAGCACACCCAAUAAUAUGUAUAAAAAUGCGUGUACGUAUAUGUGAGGGUAUAUUCAUAUGUAUAUUCUUUCACACCUAUAUAUUCAUCUAGCUCUUUUUGGGUAUGUUCUGAAUUCUCACCGAAAGAGUGUGUGAAUACGAAUGGUCAAGUCAGAAGAGUGAGAGAGAAAGGAAAAUAAGAGUAACCAAGUAAGAAAACUCUGUAUAUCUCUCUCCCGCUAUGCACAGCUGCACCGCUACGGCUGGUCCCUUACGAAGAGCUCACUGUCUCAAUGUUUUUCACAUGUCCAACGCGAGUCCCUCAAAUCAUCAUAAAUGUCACAUAAAUUCAUUAAGAUAUUUCCGUGAUCUAGUUUGAAUUAAAUUUUAAUGUCUAAAUCAUAUUAGCUUAAAAAUUCUCCCUUAGAUCUAAAUUUUAUCACCCAAGCACUUAAUUUAACAUCAUCUAACAUCGAUGAAUAUUACAGUUCCCACGAAUUCUCUGUUGAUUUUAUUUACCCGAAAAGUAGAGUAAAGAGCUCCUGUCAUUUAAAUCAAAAUUUUAUUUCUUUCUGUCUUGCUGCUAAUGGAAUUAAAGAGUGCAUAUCCGCCCGCUAAUGAAACUAAUGGUUUCCCAUGGAUUCCGGUAGCCGAUAAUUUUUGAUGAUAUAAUUUUCAGAGGUCCAAAAAUUAAAAUAAAUGUCACUUAAAUUUACGAUCUCCUGUUAUUUUCUAUCAUCUCCAUACGGAGAUCAGAGGUAAAUUUUAAAAUGUUUUCUUAAAAAUUAAAUUAUCGCUUUUAAAAAUAUGUACCACUAAUGGAUUUAAGUAAUUAAUAUUUGGUCGUAAAUGAAUUAACCGUCUGUAUCUCUGAGUCCCUUACAAAUAGUAAAUUUUCUAAGAUGACAGGUUUCCGAGAAUGAAAGUAAAUGUCACUCAAAUUUAUGAUCUAAUCCUUUACUCUCACGCUCUCAAUAUUUUUAGCCCCACUUUUCUCCCAAAAUUUUCGUAUAUAAACCCCGGAAAAAUAAUUAAAAUCAGUCAUUACCGCCGCAACUAAAACCCUUGUCGGAUCUAUCCGCGAGCAAGAUUCCAAAAUUCGUUCUCGUGACGGUCCACAGCCUAGGCAACCGGACUCCUAGAUCGAUAACCGGAAUUCAAUUUUCUUUACUUUUGUAAUUUAAACCUUUGUCGGAUCCAUCUGCGAGUAAGACUCACUGAAUCGACUUCAAAAUUCGCUCUCGUGACGGUCCACAGCCUAGGCAACCGGACUCCUAGAUCGAUAAACGCAACUCGAUUCUUUUACUAAAAAUUAUAAAUUACGCGACUCAAAUUUUAUUUUUAAAACCUUUCCUCGUGACGGUCCUUCGCCUAGGCAUCUGGACUCCUAGGUUGGAUACCUAAAAUAAAAUCAUUUGAGUUCGCAUCAAAAUUAAUUAAACCCCUUCACGUGACGUCCAAAUCGGAGUCCUUGUUCAGGAAUAGUUAAUUCCGCUAAUAAAAACCUAAAAAUCAUAGCAAAUUCACUCGAAGGCAAAGCCGGCCUUUCGGUUCAGCGUGCAGUGCGUUCGUUUGAAUAGAUUCAACCUGUGAAUCUCAAUAAAACUGUCAUAAACAUUGUAAAUUCCUGUGUGCACAAAUUCAAAUUGGUGAAUUUGGAGUGAGUGUGUGUGCAAGUAUAUCAACCCUUCUGGGUAAGUCUAAAAUUAUAAUAUUUACAUGUAAGAUUCAACUUGUCAA
Long non-coding RNA from Microplitis mediator, 5405 nucleotides. RefSeq lists it as uncharacterized. The transcript is spliced from 7 exons. NCBI's taxonomy places the organism in Eukaryota, Metazoa, Arthropoda, Insecta, Hymenoptera, Braconidae. The record is from RefSeq and is a predicted model, not a curated record.